UGCUUCCUGCAGUCGACGGCAGCGCGGGGGCACCCUGGCGGCGAGUGGCGAACGGGUGAGUAAUACAUCGGAACGUGUCCUGGAGUGGGGGAUAGCCCGGCGAAAGCCGGAUUAAUACCGCAUACGCUCUGAGGAGGAAAGCGGGGGAUCUUCGGACCUCGCGCUCAAGGGGCGGCCGAUGGCAGAUUAGCUAGUUGGUGGGGUAAAGGCCUACCAAGGCGACGAUCUGUAGCUGGUCUGAGAGGACGACCAGCCACACUGGGACUGAGACACGGCCCAGACUCCUACGGGAGGCAGCAGUGGGGAAUUUUGGACAAUGGGGGCAACCCUGAUCCAGCAAUGCCGCGUGUGUGAAGAAGGCCUUCGGGUUGUAAAGCACUUUUGUCCGGAAAGAAAACCGCUUCUCUAAUACAGGGGCGGGAUGACGGUACCGGAAGAAUAAGCACCGGCUAACUACGUGCCAGCAGCCGCGGUAAUACGUAGGGUGCAAGCGUUAAUCGGAAUUACUGGGCGUAAAGCGUGCGCAGGCGGUUCGCUAAGACCGAUGUGAAAUCCCCGGGCUUAACCUGGGAACUGCAUUGGUGACUGGCGGGCUAGAGUAUGGCAGAGGGGGGUAGAAUUCCACGUGUAGCAGUGAAAUGCGUAGAGAUGUGGAGGAAUACCGAUGGCGAAGGCAGCCCCCUGGGCCAAUACUGACGCUCAUGCACGAAAGCGUGGGGAGCAAACAGGAUUAGAUACCCUGGUAGUCCACGCCCUAAACGAUGUCAACUAGUUGUCGGGUCUUCAUUGACUUGGUAACGAAGCUAACGCGUGAAGUUGACCGCCUGGGGAGUACGGUCGCAAGAUUAAA
This 850-nucleotide ribosomal RNA is filed under the name uncultured bacterium. RNAcentral describes it as "bacterial SSU rRNA". It matches the Rfam family "Bacterial small subunit ribosomal RNA", at positions 49 to 898 of the family's 1533-position model. The record is from RNAcentral.